UGGAAUCCCAAGUGUGGAGGGGU
Molecule: non-coding RNA, 23 nt
Filed under: Rattus norvegicus (Norway rat)
Lineage: Eukaryota; Metazoa; Chordata; Mammalia; Rodentia; Muridae
Source: RNAcentral